AUGGGCAACGUCCUGCAGCAUCCACGCAUGUGCAGGGAAGCCAGGGUGGUGGACGCCACCGUUGCUGGAGCCAAGAUGAGGAAGAGGAAGGAGCGGCCAGCGGCGGCCAAGGACGUCGUCGAGGAGAAGGAGGUGGAGUGCCGCGUGGAGAACGACGGGGUGAGGUUGAAGGUGCUGAUGACGAGGAGGGAGGCGGCGGAGUUCAUGGCGAGGCUGGAAGAGCAGGCCGCAGCGGAGAGUAAAUCCAGGACGGGGGAGAUCCUCGCCGGCGGCGCGAUGAGCCCGUGCGAGGUUGCGUGGAGGCCUCGUCUCGCAACCAUACCGGAGACGUACUAG
RNAcentral lists this ribosomal RNA (336 nucleotides) under Triticum aestivum (bread wheat). Its description in RNAcentral is "partial small subunit ribosomal RNA". The record is from RNAcentral. Lineage: Eukaryota; Viridiplantae; Streptophyta; Magnoliopsida; Poales; Poaceae.